Molecule: ribosomal RNA, 651 nt
Filed under: Dietzia sp.
Lineage: Bacteria; Bacillati; Actinomycetota; Actinomycetes; Mycobacteriales; Dietziaceae
Description: bacterial SSU rRNA
Rfam family: Bacterial small subunit ribosomal RNA
Source: RNAcentral
AGUUUGAUCCUGGCUCAGGACGAACGCUGGCGGCGUGCUUAACACAUGCAAGUCGAACGGUAAGGCCCCUUCGGGGGUACACGAGUGGCGAACGGGUGAGUAACACGUGGGUAAUCUGCCCUGCACUUCGGGAUAAGCCUGGGAAACCGGGUCUAAUACCGGAUAUGAACUCCUGCCGCAUGGUGGGGGUUGGAAAGUUUUUCGGUGCAGGAUGAGCCCGCGGCCUAUCAGCUUGUUGGUGGGGUAAUGGCCUACCAAGGCGACGACGGGUAGCCGGCCUGAGAGGGUGAUCGGCCACACUGGGACUGAGACACGGCCCAGACUCCUACGGGAGGCAGCAGUGGGGAAUAUUGCACAAUGGGCGAAAGCCUGAUGCAGCGACGCCGCGUGGGGGAUGACGGUCUUCGGAUUGUAAACCCCUUUCAGUAGGGACGAAGCGCAAGUGACGGUACCUGCGGAAGAAGCACCGGCUAACUACGUGCCAGCAGCCGCGGUAAUACGUAGGGUGCGAGCGUUGUCCGGAAUUACUGGGCGUAAAGAGCUCGUAGGCGGUUUGUCACGUCGUCUGUGAAAUCCCUCGGCUUAACCGGGGGCGUGCAGGCGAUACGGGCAGACUUGAGUACUACAGGGGAGACUGGAAUUCCUGGUGUA